UGCGGAGUAGAGCAGUUUGGUAGCUUGCAAGGCUCAUAACCUUGAGGUCGGUGGUUCAAAUCCAUCCUCCGCAUCCA
RNAcentral lists this transfer RNA (77 nucleotides) under Salmonella enterica subsp. enterica serovar Braenderup. Its description in RNAcentral is "tRNA-Met". It matches the Rfam family "tRNA". From Rfam's summary of the family: Transfer RNA (tRNA) molecules are approximately 80 nucleotides in length. Their secondary structure includes four short double-helical elements and three loops (D, anti-codon, and T loops). Further hydrogen bonds mediate the characteristic L-shaped molecular structure. tRNAs have two regions of fundamental functional importance: the anti-codon, which is responsible for specific mRNA codon recognition, and the 3' end, to which the tRNAs corresponding amino acid is attached (by aminoacyl-tRNA synthetases). tRNAs cope with the degeneracy of the genetic code in two manners: having more than one tRNA (with a specific anti-codon) for a particular amino acid; and 'wobble' base-pairing, i.e. permitting non-standard base-pairing at the 3rd anti-codon position. The record is from RNAcentral. Lineage: Bacteria; Pseudomonadati; Pseudomonadota; Gammaproteobacteria; Enterobacterales; Enterobacteriaceae.